RNAcentral lists this ribosomal RNA (301 nucleotides) under uncultured bacterium. RNAcentral's name for it is "partial 16S ribosomal RNA". It matches the Rfam family "Bacterial small subunit ribosomal RNA", at positions 509 to 807 of the family's 1533-position model. The record is from RNAcentral.
CAGCAGCCGCGGUAAUACGUAGGCGGCAAGCGUUGUCCGGAAUUAUUGGGCGUAAAGGGCUCGCAGGCGGUUUCUUAAGUCUGAUGUGAAAGCCCCCGGCUCAACCGGGGAGGGUCAUUGGAAACUGGGAAACUUGAGUGCAGAAGAGGAGAGUGGAAUUCCACGUGUAGCGGUGAAAUGCGUAGAGAUGUGGAGGAACACCAGUGGCGAAGGCGACUCUCUGGUCUGUAACUGACGCUGAGGAGCGAAAGCGUGGGGAGCGAACAGGAUUAGAUACCCCAGUAGUCCCUGUCUCUUAUAC